UACGUAGGGUCCGAGCGUUGUUCGGAAUUAUUGGGCGUAAAGGGCUCGUAGGCGGUUUGUCGCGUCGGGAGUGAAAACCAGGUGCUUAACACCUGGCCUGCUUUCGAUACGGGCAGACUAGAGGCAUUCAGGGGAGAACGGAAUUCCUGGUGUAGCGGUGAAAUGCGCAGAUAUCAGGAGGAACACCGGUGGCGAAGGCGGUUCUCUGGGAAUGUCCUGACGCUGAGGAGCGAAAGUGUGGGGAGCGAACAGG
Molecule: ribosomal RNA, 253 nt
Filed under: uncultured bacterium
Lineage: Bacteria
Description: partial 16S ribosomal RNA
Rfam family: Bacterial small subunit ribosomal RNA
Source: RNAcentral